Cyprinus carpio (common carp) is the source of this 825-nucleotide long non-coding RNA. RefSeq lists it as uncharacterized. Lineage: Eukaryota; Metazoa; Chordata; Actinopteri; Cypriniformes; Cyprinidae. The record is from RefSeq and is a predicted model, not a curated record. The transcript is spliced from 2 exons.
UCUCGUUGAAAGUUCGUGCAUUACCAUAAACACAAGUUAUGUACUCGGGUUACUUUUUUCAGUUAACUAGUAAAGUUAGGCAUUACUUAUUAAUUUACAAGAAAAUAUAAGAGUUACUUUUUCAAAAAGGUAAAGCCAGUUACUUUGUUUCCAUGUCUUGAGUGACAGCUCGGGUGUUGCCAUGGUGACAGAACUCAGGAGUAAACACAAGGGCGUUGUGUGUGAACAUGAUCUCACUGUAGAUUUAGACUAAAUAUGAACAUGUGUUUAUCAUCUCACCUGCACAAAAACAGUCAAAUACAAACUCAGGAUAUGAUACAAACCUGCACUAAUUAAAUAACACGGAUAACUUUUAUUUAUUUAAUCCCAUUUUAUCAAUUCAACCAAAAAGAAUUGAGCUUGAGCUGUUCCAAGUAAGACGAUUAGUUACUUUUUUUAGGGAGUAACGCAGUAUGCAUUCCUCUUAAAAGUAAGUUUCCGGCCUGUGCUGCUGAGAGUGUCUGAGACUCUGCUCGUGUUUGUGUUGCAGUGCAGCUAGAUGGAACCAUGUCCAAGGAACAGCUGUACAACAUCGUGUACGGAAACAUUCUCAACAGCAUCCAGAACAAUCUGCCCUGAACAAAGAUCUGCUGAUCGGCUUCGGGAGGAAGCAGCUUCGCAUCACCUCCUGUGUUUUACUCCGGCCCGACAGCGUCUGGCAGCGCUGUUGUUUUUAUAUCAUCUGUAUUUAUUGCUUACCCAGCUGUUAUAAGGCUGCGUCUGUAUCAACAUCAGGAUGUUCUGAGCAUGCUACAAGCACAAGCAAAUAAAAUGAAGCUCCUGUGA